Molecule: ribosomal RNA, 80 nt
Filed under: Sciuro-hypnum plumosum
Lineage: Eukaryota; Viridiplantae; Streptophyta; Bryopsida; Hypnales; Brachytheciaceae
Description: partial 5.8S ribosomal RNA
Rfam family: 5.8S ribosomal RNA
About the family: 5.8S ribosomal RNA (5.8S rRNA) is a component of the large subunit of the eukaryotic ribosome.
Source: RNAcentral
AGAAUUCCGCGAAUCAUCGAGUCUUUGAACGCAAGUUGCGCCCGAGGCUUGUCCGAGGGCAUUUCCGCUAGAGCGUCACC